CAAUAGCGUAUAUUAAAGUUGUUGCGGUAAAAAAGCUCGUAGUUGGAUUUCUACCGAAGAUAGCCGGUCGGGUCUUCGACCUUGUAUCUGGUUUUGUCUUUGGUAUCCUCAUAGGGAACGUUUCUGCGCUUUAUUGCGUGGUGCGGUAUCUAUGACUUUUACUUUGAGGAAAUUAGAGUGUUCACGGCAGGCAAACGCCUUGAAUAUAUUAGCAUGGAAUAAUAACAUAGGAUCUUCGUCCUAUUUUGUUGGUUUCUAGGGCUAAGAUAAUGAUUAAUAGGGAUAAUUGGGGGCAUCUGUAUUUCGGUGCUAGAGGUGAAAUUCUUAGAUUACCGAAAGACAAACUGCUGCGAAAGCGUCUGCCAAGGAUGUUUUCAUUGA
This 381-nucleotide ribosomal RNA is filed under the name uncultured eukaryote. RNAcentral's name for it is "partial 18S ribosomal RNA". It matches the Rfam family "Eukaryotic small subunit ribosomal RNA", at positions 592 to 976 of the family's 1831-position model. The record is from RNAcentral.